GAUGAACGCUGGCGGCGUGCCUAAUACAUGCAAGUCGAGCGAACGGAUGAGAAGCUUGCUUCUCUGAUGUUAGCGGCGGACGGGUGAGUAACACGUGGAUAACCUACCUAUAAGACUGGGAUAACUUCGGGAAACCGGAGCUAAUACCGGAUAAUAUUUUGAACCGCAUGGUUCAAAAGUGAAAGACGGUCUUGCUGUCACUUAUAGAUGGAUCCGCGCUGCAUUAGCUAGUUGGUAAGGUAACGGCUUACCAAGGCAACGAUGCAUAGCCGACCUGAGAGGGUGAUCGGCCACACUGGAACUGAGACACGGUCCAGACUCCUACGGGAGGCAGCAGUAGGGAAUCGUCCGCAAUGGGCGAAAGCCUGACGGAGCAACGCCGCGUGAGUGAUGAAGGUCUUCGGAUCGUAAAACUCUGUUAUUAGGGAAGAACAUAUGUGUAAGUAACUGUGCACAUCUUGACGGUACCUAAUCAGAAAGCCACGGCUAACUACGUG
This 497-nucleotide ribosomal RNA is filed under the name uncultured bacterium. RNAcentral describes it as "partial 16S ribosomal RNA". It matches the Rfam family "Bacterial small subunit ribosomal RNA", at positions 28 to 507 of the family's 1533-position model. The record is from RNAcentral.